This 510-nucleotide ribosomal RNA is filed under the name uncultured bacterium. RNAcentral's name for it is "bacterial SSU rRNA". It matches the Rfam family "Bacterial small subunit ribosomal RNA", at positions 993 to 1503 of the family's 1533-position model. The record is from RNAcentral.
GACCUCUCCCUAAUCGGAGAUUUCCCUUCGGGGACAGUGUGACAGGUGGUGCAUGGUGUCGUCAGCUCGUGUCGUGAGAUGUUGGGUUAAGUCCCGCAACGAGCGCAACCCUUGCCUUUAGUUGCCCAGCAUUAAGUUGGGCACUCUAGAGGGACUGCCGAGGAUAACUCGGAGGAAGGUGGGGAUGACGUCAAAUCAUCAUGCCCUUUAUGCUUAGGGCUACACACGUGCUACAAUGGGUGGUACAGAGGGUUGCCAAGCCGCGAGGUGGAGCUAAUCCCUUAAAGCCAUUCUCAGUUCGGAUUGUAGGCUGAAACUCGCCUACAUGAAGCUGGAGUUACUAGUAAUCGCAGAUCAGAAUGCUGCGGUGAAUGCGUUCCCGGGUCUUGUACACACCGCCCGUCACACCAUGGAAGUUGGGGGCGCCCGAAGCCGGUUAGCUAACCUUUUAGGAAGCGGCCGUCGAAGGUGAAACCAAUGACUGGGGUGAAGUCGUAACAAGGUAACCUA